CCGUGUGGUUGCACAAUCCUAUAUACCAAGAGGUGUCAAAUCUAUAUCGGCCCGUACAGAAUGGGUACUACUGUGCGGGCAAAGGUAACCAAUUGUUCCGCUUUCACAAUUUGUGUUUGCGCGUGCUCCCAGCUCAAUGAGUCUGGGUUGCUUGAAAGAGUGAAUA
This 166-nucleotide unclassified non-coding RNA is filed under the name Apharyngostrigea pipientis. RNAcentral describes it as "partial external transcribed spacer". Lineage: Eukaryota; Metazoa; Platyhelminthes; Trematoda; Diplostomida; Strigeidae. The record is from RNAcentral.